UACAGAGGGGGCAAGCGUUAUUCGGAAUUAUUGGGCGUAAAGGGCGCGUAGGCGGCUUGGCAAGUGGAUGGUGAAAUCCCUCGGCUUAACCGAGGAACUGCCGUCCAAACUGCUUCGCUUGAGACCGGGAGAGGUGAGUGGAAUUCCCAGUGUAGCGGUGAAAAUGCGUAGAUAUCUGGAGGAACACCGGUGGCGAAGGCGACAUCCUGGACCGGUAUUGACGCUGAGGCGCGAAAGCGUGGGGAACGAACAGG
Molecule: ribosomal RNA, 254 nt
Filed under: uncultured bacterium
Lineage: Bacteria
Description: partial 16S ribosomal RNA
Rfam family: Bacterial small subunit ribosomal RNA
Source: RNAcentral